Molecule: ribosomal RNA, 315 nt
Filed under: uncultured bacterium
Lineage: Bacteria
Description: bacterial SSU rRNA
Rfam family: Bacterial small subunit ribosomal RNA
Source: RNAcentral
GAUGAACGCUAGCUACAGGCUUAACACAUGCAAGUCGAGGGGCAGCAUGGUCUUAGCUUGCUAAGGCCGAUGGCGACCGGCGCACGGGUGAGUAACACGUAUCCAACCUGCCGUCUACUCUUGGACAGCCUUCUGAAAGGAAGAUUAAUACAAGAUGGCAUCAUGAGUCCGCAUGUUCACAUGAUUAAAGGUGUUCCGGUAGACGAUGGGGAUGCGUUCCAGUAGAGAGUAGGCGGGGUAACGGCCCACCUAGUCUUCGAUGGAUAGGGGUUCUGAGAGGAAGGUCCCCCACAUUGGAACUGAGACACGGUCCAA